RNAcentral lists this ribosomal RNA (504 nucleotides) under uncultured bacterium. RNAcentral's name for it is "bacterial SSU rRNA". It matches the Rfam family "Bacterial small subunit ribosomal RNA", at positions 30 to 526 of the family's 1533-position model. The record is from RNAcentral.
AUUGAACGCUGGCGGCAGGCUUAACACAUGCAAGUCGAGCGGAUGAAGGUAGCUUGCUACUGGAUUCAGCGGCGGACGGGUGAGUAAUGCUUAGGAAUCUGCCUAUUAGUGGGGGACAACGUUCCGAAAGGAGCGCUAAUACCGCAUACGUCCUACGGGAGAAAGCAGGGGACCUUUGGGCCUUGCGCUAAUAGAUGAGCCUAAGUCGGAUUAGCUAGUUGGUAGGGUAAAGGCCUACCAAGGCGACGAUCUGUAGCGGGUCUGAGAGGAUGAUCCGCCACACUGGGACUGAGACACGGCCCAGACUCCUACGGGAGGCAGCAGUGGGGAAUAUUGGACAAUGGGGGGAACCCUGAUCCAGCCAUGCCGCGUGUGUGAAGAAGGCCUUUUGGUUGUAAAGCACUUUAAGCGAGGAGGAGGCUACCUAGAUUAAUACUUUAGGAUAGUGGACGUUACUCGCAGAAUAAGCACCGGCUAACUCUGUGCCAGCCGCCGCCGUAACAC